This 264-nucleotide unclassified non-coding RNA is filed under the name Ascomycota sp. RNAcentral describes it as "partial contains small subunit ribosomal RNA, internal transcribed spacer 1, and 5.8S ribosomal RNA". The stretch from base 1 to 47 matches the Rfam family "Eukaryotic small subunit ribosomal RNA", at positions 1785 to 1831 of the family's 1831-position model. Lineage: Eukaryota; Fungi; Ascomycota. The record is from RNAcentral.
AAAGUCGUAACAAGGUCUCCGUAGGUGAACCUGCGGAGGGAUCAUUAACACGUUAUCCACGUACACACCCGCGAACUGUUUUGUUCCGACGGAGAGGAGGGAGACACGUUGUCCUUCACGGGACGGUAAUCUUUCUUCUCUGCUGUCAACCUUUUUUCCAAAAACCCAUGUAACAUUUUGUCCUAAUCUUUUGAUCAGGUUAACGCCUGGCCAAGUAAAAAUACAACACACGUACAACUCUUAGCAACGGAUAUCUUGGUUCUC